RNAcentral lists this ribosomal RNA (1372 nucleotides) under uncultured bacterium. Its description in RNAcentral is "bacterial SSU rRNA". It matches the Rfam family "Bacterial small subunit ribosomal RNA", at positions 28 to 1381 of the family's 1533-position model. The record is from RNAcentral.
GAUGAACGCUGGCGGCGUGCCUAAUACAUGCAAGUCGAGCGAACGGACGAGAAGCUUGCUUCUCUGAUGUUAGCGGCGGACGGGUGAGUAACACGUGGAUAACCUACCUAUAAGACUGGGAUAACUUCGGGAAACCGUAGCUAAUACCGGAUAAUAUUUUGAACCGCAUGGUUCAAAAGUGAAAGACGGUCUUGCUGUCACUUAUAGAUGGAUCCGCGCUGCAUUAGCUAGUUGGUAAGGUAACGGCUUACCAAGGCAACGAUGCAUAGCCGACCUGAGAGGGUGAUCGGCCACACUGGAACUGAGACACGGUCCAGACUCCUACGGGAGGCAGCAGUAGGGAAUCUUCCGCAAUGGGCGAAAGCCUGACGGAGCAACGCCGCGUGAGUGAUGAAGGUCUUCGGAUCGUAAAACUCUGUUAUUAGGGAAGAACAUAUGUGUAAGUAACUGUGCACAUCUUGACGGUACCUAAUCAGAAAGCCACGGCUAACUACGUGCCAGCAGCCGCGGUAAUACGUAGGUGGCAAGCGUUAUCCGGAAUUAUUGGGCGUAAAGCGCGCGUAGGCGGUUUUUUAAGUCUGAUGUGAAAGCCCACGGCUCAACCGUGGAGGGUCAUUGGAAACUGGAAAACUUGAGUGCAGAAGAGGAAAGUGGAAUUCCAUGUGUAGCGGUGAAAUGCGCAGAGAUAUGGAGGAACACCAGUGGCGAAGGCGACUUUCUGGUCUGUAACUGACGCUGAUGUGCGAAAGCGUGGGGAUCAAACAGGAUUAGAUACCCUGGUAGUCCACGCCGUAAACGAUGAGUGCUAAGUGUUAGGGGGUUUCCGCCCCUUAGUGCUGCAGCUAACGCAUUAAGCACUCCGCCUGGGGAGUACGACCGCAAGGUUGAAACUCAAAGGAAUUGACGGGGACCCGCACAAGCGGUGGAGCAUGUGGUUUAAUUCGAAGCAACGCGAAGGACCUUACCAAAUCUUGACAUCCUUUGACAACUCUAGAGAUAGAGCCUUCCCCUUCGGGGGACAAAGUGACAGGUGGUGCAUGGUUGUCGUCAGCUCGUGUCGUGAGAUGUUGGGUUAAGUCCCGCAACGAGCGCAACCCUUAAGCUUAGUUGCCAUCAUUAAGUUGGGCACUCUAAGUUGACUGCCGGUGACAAACCGGAGGAAGGUGGGGAUGACGUCAAAUCAUCAUGCCCCUUAUGAUUUGGGCUACACACGUGCUACAAUGGACAAUACAAAGGGCAGCGAAACCGCGAGGUCAAGCAAAUCCCAUAAAGUUGUUCUCAGUUCGGAUUGUAGUCUGCAACUCGACUACAUGAAGCUGGAAUCGCUAGUAAUCGUAGAUCAGCAUGCUACGGUGAAUACGUUCCCGGGUCU